GCGUGGGUGAAGAAGGUCUUCGGAUUGUAAAGCCCUUUCGACGGGGACGAUGAUGACGGUACCCGUAGAAGAAGCCCCGGCUAACUUCGUGCCAGCAGCCGCGGUAAUACGAAGGGGGCUAGCGUUGCUCGGAAUUACUGGGCGUAAAGGGCGCGUAGGCGGCCCAUCAAGUCAGGCGUGAAAUUCCCGGGCUCAACCUGGGGACUGCGCUUGAGACUGGCGGGCUAGAGGCCGAGAGAGGGUGGUGGAAUUCCCAGUGUAGAGGUGAAAUUCGU
RNAcentral lists this ribosomal RNA (275 nucleotides) under uncultured bacterium. RNAcentral's name for it is "partial 16S ribosomal RNA". It matches the Rfam family "Bacterial small subunit ribosomal RNA", at positions 399 to 691 of the family's 1533-position model. The record is from RNAcentral.